GACGAACGCUGGCGGCAUGCCUAACACAUGCAAGUCGAACGGAGAUUAUUUCGGUAAUCUUAGUAGCGAACGGGUGAGUAACGCGUGGGCAACCUGCCCUCUAGAUGGGGACAACAUCCCGAAAGGGGUGCUAAUACCGAAUGUGACAGCAAUCUCGCAUGAGGAUGCUGUGAAAGAUGGCCUCUAUUUAUAAGCUAUCGCUAGAGGAUGGGCCUGCGUCUGAUUAGCUAGUUGGUGGGGUAACGGCCUACCAAGGCGAUGAUCAGUAGCCGGUCUGAGAGGAUGAACGGCCACAUUGGGACUGAGACACGGCCCAGACUCCUACGGGAGGCAGCAGUGGGGAAUCUUCCGCAAUGGGCGAAAGCCUGACGGAGCAAUGCCGCGUGAGUGAUGAAGGAAUUCGUUCCGUAAAGCUCUUUUGUUUAUGACGAAUGUGCAGAUUGUGAACAAUGAUCUGUAAUGACGGUAGUAAACGAAUAAGCCACGGCUAACUACGUG
RNAcentral lists this ribosomal RNA (498 nucleotides) under uncultured bacterium. Its description in RNAcentral is "partial 16S ribosomal RNA". It matches the Rfam family "Bacterial small subunit ribosomal RNA", at positions 28 to 507 of the family's 1533-position model. The record is from RNAcentral.